RNAcentral lists this long non-coding RNA (682 nucleotides) under Chinchilla lanigera (long-tailed chinchilla). Its description in RNAcentral is "lncRNA (ENSCLAG00000024699.1)". Lineage: Eukaryota; Metazoa; Chordata; Mammalia; Rodentia; Chinchillidae. The record is from RNAcentral.
GACCAAUGUCAUCACCGUUAUGGAGGGCAUCGUCGUGUGUUACUUCUGCGUAGGUCUGCUACUCAGGUGUGCUCCUCUUCAGCCAGAAGUGGGGCCCACUGCCCUGCAAAGGAAGCCUGGGUACAAGGUUUUCUCCAGUUCAACCUUGAUGCUGCCCAGGAUGCUUGAAAGCUCCAGGAUAAUCCCGGAGGAAAAUCAUCUUUGGAGAAAGAGGAAGAAUGGAGAAGCUUCUGCCUGACUUAUCCACCCACCCACCACCAAACCGUGAUUCAUUCUCACGGUUCUCAUGACAUGCCAUGUGUUAGAAUAUGGGGAUAUAGAAGCAGCAGACCUCCCUCCAGAAACUCUUCUAACAGAAAGAAAAUUGCAUGGCCUAAAAUGUCAGUAGCAUGUGUAAUUCUCUAAGAUAGAUAAGUGUGGCAGUUUCACACACCGAUACUUUCUGGAAGAGCUUAAAGAUAUGCACUAGCGGUUGUUCAUGUGUCCCUCACCCACCAUGAGCAGGUCACCCCCUACACACUGGGAGGCCUGGGAGCCCUCUUCCUGCUUGGCCUGGUCGCCCACAUCUGUAAAGGCUGGGGCUCAGAUUAGAUGGCUCUGUGGCCUCUCUCAGUCAAGUAACCCUAAGGUUUUCUCUCCAGGGACCCUGAAGUCCGGAUGUGACUCCAGGGCUCCCACACAG